This 1687-nucleotide long non-coding RNA is filed under the name Mus pahari (shrew mouse). Its description in RNAcentral is "lncRNA (MGP_PahariEiJ_G0002847.1)". The record is from RNAcentral. Lineage: Eukaryota; Metazoa; Chordata; Mammalia; Rodentia; Muridae.
AGCAGUUCCAUCCUGCUCCUGCUCUCCUUGCGCUGGGCCCAUGGUCAGAGCCAGGCACUUAGCCGACCAGCCCGAGCCCAGUUGUCUGUGUCAGGACCUCCAGCCUGCGGCCACCUGCACUUCAAGCACCAAGUUGGCUCUGGAAGACCUCAGGAUGGUCUGACCUAGGAACUGGCAGAGUCUUGUUAUGCAGCUCACGCUAGCCUGAAACUUACAACCUCCUGACUCUGCGUCCCAGGUGCUGGGAUUUUAGCUGCCUUGCUGCUGCUGCCUCCUGUUGAGGCCCUGGGUAAAGUCUCAGCCAAUCAGCACAAGUGCAAGUCCGGCUGCCACUGUCCCCAGGGUCUGCCAGGGGUCCCUCAACAAUCACCUCCUCGUGCUGCUGGGUGUCGAUGGCGCCAGAGUCUACCUGUCGGACGACUUUGCGAACGAUCUGGAAAAAGAGGGGAAGAGAAGGAGGGCUGGUCAAGUCUUCAGGACAACAUCUGCAAAAAACAAGGCCCCCCCCCACCUCCUACCCCCAGCAGAGGCACCAGGAGGAGAGGCCAUGGCUUCCUGUCCCCUGGAGCCAAGAAGCCUUUCUCUGCUGUCACCUAUGGGGAAUGUCAGUGGAGCUUGGACCAGGGAGCAUGAUGGCCUGCAGAGCUCCAUCAACCAUUGGCUUGGCUGAACGCAGUGCUGCCUCAGCCUCUGCCAUCCCACUCUGCUCCUUAGGAAGCUCGGUCUGGCUAUUGUGCCUCUCCAGUGCCUAAGGACAGAGGCAGGCAACCCUUUUUAUCUAUUUACCUUCUUGGUAACAAUGUUGCCCUGUUCAUCUGUGAAUUGUUCCUCCGUCACCUGCUCUCCUGGAAUAUUCCGAAGCUCAUCCCCCUGGGAUUAGAAGAAGGGAAAGACCCAGACUGCAUCACCAUGCAUGCACCACAGAGUCCCCCUCAGACUGUCCUCUGGCAUCCGAGGUCCGGCCCCGCUACCCUGCCGCUUGCCUGGGGUUACCUUCAGGAAGACCCGUCGGCGGACCACUCGGGUAGAGAUGGUCUCCUCGUCAUCGCUCAGGCCCUCGCUCUCCCCCAGCUCCUUGUCCAGUUCCUGGUGGAUGUGCUUGAGCACAAAGCACAGGGAACCCUUGACAAUAUGCAUCACAUUCUGACAGCUAACCAGGAAGAAACCUAGCAACACCAGCGUGACCAGGAGCUGCGUGAUGAAGGUCCACAUCCUCCUCUCCUCACCAGCCUGGCCCUCCAGGGACCGGGGACACCAGGGGCCCAGCUGCUGUGGAGAUCCGGUUUCUCAUUCUCUUCUUGGACUCCUGAAGUCCCCAGCCAGCCCUUCCAUUCUGUCUCUUUAACCUCUUUUCUCUUUAUCUCCUGUUUAUUCUAAACGGGAGACCAAACGGUCUCUCCCGCGCGACUCUCUUAGCUGGGACGUGGUGACCCAAAUGUCCUUCCUGCCAAACGGCCCAGGAUCUCUCCUCACACCCCAGAGGACGUCAGCCUUCUAUAAUUUUAGUAAUUUUAGCUCUCAAGCCAGCUGCUAGAGCUGUCCAACUGGGAUGAGGGGAGACAGCAGGUGCUGUAUCUUGGGCUCAGGAAGCACAUGUCAAAGUGACCGUAGAGAGGGAAACUGGGAUUGUCUACGGGUGCCAGAGGGAAAGUCUCUCAUUCAGGGACUCCAUAAAACAAGGUGUCCC